CCUUUUCUUGUCAAAUCUGGAGCUGCUCCUAACGUUCAAGGCCAAGCUCUCAGUAUUAUCUGUAAGUUUCAUGUUAACUCGCCUCUGCUUCUCUACAUUUUGUUAGGGAGUAGGCUUUGUUUAUUGUGGGUGCAGGAUCCAAUAACCAGAAGUUCGUGUCUUACACUAUCAAAAAUGUGCCAUUAAGCCCCAUAAGGAAUUGUAUAAGUUGUGUGAAGGUGGCUGAUUCUGCAACUGUGUCCCAGGCGCCAUGGGAAGGAAAUGAAUUCUGAACAGUUGCUGAGACCAAACCAUUUACCAGAUAAUCAAGUCUUUAUCAGUGUCCCAGGAGAUUAUUCAAGGAAACCCCCAAUUGGAGAGAUUCUGCUAGACUAUGUGCCAGGGUUUAAGCCUGCCCGUUGCAUUGAACUGUUUUCUAGGGAGAUGAUAGCAGGCUGGACUUCUUGGGGUAACGAACCCCUACACUUUCAAGAUCCAAAGUACUUUCUAAAGUACAAUUAAUUGAUUUCUACAUGAAAUGAAGGGCCUCAUGAUCAGAGAAGGUCAUCCUUUCCAUCCGAACCUCUGUUGACA
Non-coding RNA from Sesamum indicum (sesame), 573 nucleotides. The record is from RefSeq and is a predicted model, not a curated record. NCBI's taxonomy places the organism in Eukaryota, Viridiplantae, Streptophyta, Magnoliopsida, Lamiales, Pedaliaceae.